UCUUUGGUUAUCUAGCUGUAUGAGUAUUGCUGAUCCAUCAUAAAGCUAGAUAACCGAAAGUA
This 62-nucleotide microRNA precursor is filed under the name Scyliorhinus torazame (cloudy catshark). RNAcentral's name for it is "Sto-Mir-9-P1_pre stem-loop". It matches the Rfam family "mir-9/mir-79 microRNA precursor family", at positions 10 to 69 of the family's 78-position model. From Rfam's summary of the family: The mature ~21nt miRNAs are processed from hairpin precursor sequences represented here. miR-9 is processed from the 5' arm of its precursor, and miR-79 from the 3' arm. The bounds of the precursors are predicted based on conservation and base pairing and are not generally known. The record is from RNAcentral. Lineage: Eukaryota; Metazoa; Chordata; Chondrichthyes; Carcharhiniformes; Scyliorhinidae.